RNAcentral lists this RNase P RNA (345 nucleotides) under human gut metagenome. RNAcentral's name for it is "Bacterial RNase P class A". It matches the Rfam family "Bacterial RNase P class A". Rfam says of the family: Ribonuclease P (RNase P) is a ubiquitous endoribonuclease, found in archaea, bacteria and eukarya as well as chloroplasts and mitochondria. The record is from RNAcentral.
UGGCAAAUGGUCGCGGCUCCGUUAUACGGAGGUGAGGAAAGUCCGGGCUUCACAGGGCAGGAUGCCGGAUAACGUCCGGUGGAGGUGACUCCAAGGCCAGUGCAACAGAAAUAAACCGCCCGGUUUACCGGGUAAGGGUGGAAAGGCAGUGUAAGAGACUACCGCCCUCGAGGUAACAAGAGGGGCACAUGUAAACCCCAUUCGAAGCAAGACCAAACAGAAGACAAUAGGUUUGCCCGACCUGUUUUCAGGUGGGUCGCUUGAAACUGUUGGUAACAGCAGUUCUAGAUAGAUGACCAUUCGUGCAGUUCAUGCACCGACAUAACCCGGCUUAUCGCUGCGCUU